GGUUGUCCAGAUGAGCCCCUUUGGUCGUCUUGUCGUUUUUGCAGUGCCAUCAGCACUAUUUAUUAUGAAUUUGAUGUGGUUUGCUAAAAUCAUCAAAGGAUUGAUGAAAACUUUAGCCAAGAGACAGUGAUCUUAACAGUGAUCUUAUCUUUAUCAUCAUACAUACAAGGUCAACCAAUAUGUUUCUCUAACUGGAUGUAGUAUUCCUCUGUAUUUUACUGUCUUCUCUGCUUUAUAAAUCAUUGAGGGGGCAAAAAGGCAGGAAAAGGAAAAUAGAAGGUAAUCUGAUAUUCUUAGUUGAUGGAAUCAAAUUUUUGUAUAUGAUUACUCAUUCAGUGCUUACCACUAGUUAGAGAAACAUAUUGGUUGACCUUGUAUGUNNNNNNNNNNNNUAUAUUUGGAUGUUAAAAGCUGAUGGGCUGCCUUUUUGCCCCCUCAAUGAUUUAUAAAG
This 451-nucleotide unclassified non-coding RNA is filed under the name Hevea brasiliensis (rubber tree). The record is from RNAcentral. Lineage: Eukaryota; Viridiplantae; Streptophyta; Magnoliopsida; Malpighiales; Euphorbiaceae.